RNAcentral lists this ribosomal RNA (303 nucleotides) under uncultured bacterium. RNAcentral's name for it is "partial 16S ribosomal RNA". It matches the Rfam family "Bacterial small subunit ribosomal RNA", at positions 507 to 807 of the family's 1533-position model. The record is from RNAcentral.
AGCAGUAGCCGCGGGAAAACGGAGGGUGCAAGCGUUAUCCGGAUUUAUUGGGUUUAAAGGGUCCGUAGGCGGACUUAUAAGUCAGUGGUGAAAGCCUGUCGCUUAACGAUAGAACUGCCAUUGAUACUGUAAGUCUUGAGUAUAUUUGAGGUAGCUGGAAUAAGUAGUGUAGCGGUGAAAUGCAUAGAUAUUACUUAGAACACCAAUUGCGAAGGCAGGUUACCAAGAUAUAACUGACGCUGAGGGACGAAAGCGUGGGUAGCGAACAGGAUUAGAUACCCCUGUAGUCCCUGUCUCUUAUAC